ACGCUCGACACCUACAGGAGGCAGCAGUGGGGAAUAUUGCACAAUGGGGGAAACCCUGAUGCAGCGACGCCGCGUGAGUGAAGAAGUAUUUCGGUAUGUAAAGCUCUAUCAGCAGGGAAGAAAAUGACGGUACCUGAGUAAGAAGCCCCGGCUAACUACGUGCCGGCAGCCGCGGUAAUCUGAGCGGCUGGCAAGGC
RNAcentral lists this ribosomal RNA (197 nucleotides) under uncultured bacterium. RNAcentral describes it as "partial 16S ribosomal RNA". It matches the Rfam family "Bacterial small subunit ribosomal RNA", at positions 328 to 539 of the family's 1533-position model. The record is from RNAcentral.